GACGAACGCUGGCGGCGUGCCUAAUACAUGCAAGUAGAACGCUGAAGGAGGAGCUUGCUUCUCUGGAUGAGUUGCGAACGGGUGAGUAACGCGUAGGUAACCUGCCUGGUAGCGGGGGAUAACUAUUGGAAACGAUAGCUAAUACCGCAUAAUAGCAGUUAUUGCAUGAUAACUGUUUGAAAGGUGCAAUUGCACCACUACCAGAUGGACCUGCGUUGUAUUAGCUAGUUGGUGGGGUAACGGCUCACCAAGGCGACGAUACAUAGCCGACCUGAGAGGGGGAUCGGCCACACUGGGACUGAGACACGGCCCAGACUCCUACGGGAGGCAGCAGUAGGGAAUCUUCGGCAAUGGACGGAAGUCUGACCGAGCAACGCCGCGUGAGUGAAGAAGGUUUUCGGAUCGUAAAGCUCUGUUGUAAGAGAAGAACGAGUGUGAGAGUGGAAAGUUCACACUGUGACGGUAUCUUACCAGAAAGAGACGGCUAACUACGUG
RNAcentral lists this ribosomal RNA (495 nucleotides) under uncultured bacterium. Its description in RNAcentral is "partial 16S ribosomal RNA". It matches the Rfam family "Bacterial small subunit ribosomal RNA", at positions 28 to 507 of the family's 1533-position model. The record is from RNAcentral.